UACGUAGGGAGCAAGCGUUGUCCGGAAUCAGUGGGCGUAAAGCGUGCGCAGGCGGCGCGUUAAGACAGGUGUGAAAGCCCCGAGCUUAACUUGGGAAUUGCGCUUGUGACUGGCGAGCUGGAGUGUGGCAGAGGGAGGUGGAAUUCCACGUGUAGCAGUGAAAUGCGUAGAGAUGUGGAGGAACACCGAUGGCGAAGGCAGCCUCCUGGGCCAGCACUGACGCUCAUGCACGAAAGCGUGGGGAGCAAACAGG
RNAcentral lists this ribosomal RNA (253 nucleotides) under uncultured bacterium. Its description in RNAcentral is "partial 16S ribosomal RNA". It matches the Rfam family "Bacterial small subunit ribosomal RNA", at positions 524 to 776 of the family's 1533-position model. The record is from RNAcentral.